UUCUGAAUAUAUUUUCUCUUUAAUACUUCUAGUGCUAAUCAUUGAUGUUUGCUCCCCCUUAAUACAGUAAUCAUUAACAGCAAUCAUCAACAAAGAGAAGAUAUUUGAACAAGGAGAGAAUAUAUAUAACCAAAAAGAUGAUUGACAUCAUUACAAAAAGUAGAGAUAUAAGUAAAAGAUGAUUAAAACCAUAAUUGUUUCAAUACAAAUUUCAUAACAUAAAAGUCAGCUAGCUAAUGUCAUUACAUGGCCCCAAAAUACAGAUCCUAGAAAGAACAAGACACUAACACCUAGGAUCUAGUAAAGAUCAUGACUAGAAGGAUCGGAGUCGUCAGAUAUGGGAUGAGGAGCUGAUGGAUCUCGACCAGAAGUACAUCCUCUACCCCGCCUGCCUCUGGCACGAGCAGGUGAGCGAGAUGAACUAGGAGGCUGAGAACGCUGCGAGGCCAAGGACUGGACAGAAAGAGUGAGUCUGAUGGAAUCAAGAACGUUCAGUGCUCUGGAAAUAGACUGAAGUAGAGUAGUGAACUGGGUAGAUGCAUGCUCACUCGAGCCUC
This 557-nucleotide long non-coding RNA is filed under the name Elaeis guineensis (African oil palm). Its description in RNAcentral is "long non-coding RNA (EGUI_LNC070465)". Lineage: Eukaryota; Viridiplantae; Streptophyta; Magnoliopsida; Arecales; Arecaceae. The record is from RNAcentral.